UAGGGAAUCUUCCACAAUGGACGCAAGUCUGAUGGAGCAACGCCGCGUGAGUGAAGAAGGUCUUCGGAUCGUAAAGCUCUGUUGUUGGUGAAGAAGGAUAGAGGCAGUAACUGGUCUUUAUUUGACGGUAAUCAACCAGAAAGUCACGGCUAACUACGUGCCAGCAGCCGCGGUAAUACGUAGGUGGCAAGCGUUGUCCGGAUUUAUUGGGCGUAAAGCGAGCGCAGGCGGAAUGAUAAGUCUGAUGUGAAAGCCCACGGCUCAACCGUGGAACUGCAUCGGAAACUGUCAUUCUUGAGUGCAGAAGAGGAGAGUGGAACUCCAUGUGUAGCGGUGGAAUGCGUAGAUAUAUGGAAGAACACCAGCGGCGAAGGCGGCUCUCUGGUCUGCAACUGACGCUGAGGCUCGAAAGCAUGGGUAGCGAACAGGAUUAGAUACCCUGGUAG
This 446-nucleotide ribosomal RNA is filed under the name uncultured bacterium. Its description in RNAcentral is "partial 16S ribosomal RNA". It matches the Rfam family "Bacterial small subunit ribosomal RNA", at positions 355 to 793 of the family's 1533-position model. The record is from RNAcentral.